Molecule: transfer RNA, 58 nt
Filed under: Rhagophthalminae sp. GENSP01
Lineage: Eukaryota; Metazoa; Arthropoda; Insecta; Coleoptera; Rhagophthalmidae
Description: tRNA-Arg
Source: RNAcentral
UAAGAAACAAAAUUUGUAAUUAGUUUCGACCUAAUAUUUGAUGACCUACCAUCCUUAU